UCAAGUUAUUAAGGGUGCAGGGCGGAUGCCUUGGCACUAGGAGCCGAUGAAGGACGUGAUAAGCUGCGAUAAGCUUCGGGGAGUUGCACGUAAACUUUGAUCCGAAGAUUUCCGAAUGAGGAAACUCACUUAGAGUAAUGUCUAAGUAUCAUUAAGUGAAUACAUAGCUUAAUGAGGGGAACUCAGGGAACUGAAACAUCUAAGUACCUGAAGGAAGAGAAAGAAAUUCGAUUCCGUAAGUAGCGGCGAGCGAACGCGGAUUAGCCCAAACCAAUAAAGUUUUCUUUAUUGGGGUUGCGGACAUAUCAUAACGAAGAGGUAUCGUAAUUGAAGAGGUUUGGAAAGACCCACCACAGAAGGUAAUAGUCCUGUAUGUUAAACGAGAAGACUUCAGAUAUGAUCCAGAGUACCACGGGACACGUGAAACCCUGUGGGAAGCAGGAGGGACCACCCUCCAAGGCUAAAUACUACCUAGUGACCGAUAGCGUAUAGUACCGUGAGGGAAAGGUGAAAAGAACCCCGGGAGGGGAGUGAAAUAGAACCUGAAACCCUGCACUUACAAGCUGUGGAAGCACAUUUCUUGUGUGACCGCGUACUUUUUGUAGAACGGGCCAACGAGUUACGUUAAGUAGCAAGGUUAAGCACUUAAGGUGCGGAGCCGUAGCGAAAGCGAGUUUUAACUGAGCGUUCAGUUACUUGACGUAGACCCGAAACCGGGCGACCUACCCAUGAGCAGGAUGAAGCGAAAGUAAAAUUUCGUGGAGGUCCGAACCCACGAGCGUUGAAAAGCUCGGGGAUGACUUGUGGGUAGCGGUGAAAUUCCAAUCGAGCCCGGAGAUAGCUGGUUCUCCCCGAAAUAGCUUUAGGGCUAGCCUCAAGGUGAGAGAUACGGAGGUAGAGCACUGAAUGUCCUAGGGGGUAUUGCACCUACCGAAGACUAUCAAACUCCGAAUGCCGUCAUCUUAUACUUGGGAGUCAGACUGUGGGUGAUAAGAUUCAUAGUCGAAAGGGCAACAGCCCAGAUCGUCAGCUAAGGUCCCUAAAUGUAAGUUAAGUGGUAAAGGAUGUGGGAUUGCACAGACAACCAGGAUGUUGGCUUAGAAGCAGCCACUCAUUCAAAGAGUGCGUAAUAGCUCACUGGUCGAGUGAUCCUGCGCCGAAGAUUUCCGGGGCUAAAACUUACUACCGAAGCUACGGCAUCAUUAUGAUGGGUAGGGGAGCUUCCCAUACGGGUUGAAGCAUGACCGUAAGGACAUGUGGACAGUAUGGGAGUGAGAAUGUUGGCAUGAGUAGCGAGAUGUGGGUGAGAAUCCCACAGGCCGUAAACCCAAGGUUUCCAGGGGAAGGUUCGUCCGCCCUGGGUUAGUCGGGACCUAAGCUGAGGCCGAAAGGCGUAGGUGAUGGACAACAGGUUGAUAUUCCUGUACUACCGAUAACCGUUUGAGAGAAGGGAUGACACAGUAGGAUAAGCUAAGCACACUGUUGGUUAUGUGUGCCCAAGCAUUGAGGCAGUCAAAGCAGGCAAAUCCGCUUUGAUAAUGCUGGGAUGUGAUGGGGAGCGAAAUUUAGUAGCGAAGUAGCUGAUUUCACACUGUCAAGAAAAGUCUCUAUCGAGGUUAAAGGUACCCGUACCGCAAACCGACACAGGUGGGUGAGGAGAGUAUCCUAAGGCCAGCGAGAGAACUGUUGUUAAGGAACUCGGCAAAAUGACCCCGUAACUUAGGGAUAAGGGGUGCCACCAUCCGGUGGCCGCAGAGAAUAGGCCCAAGCGACUGUUUACCAAAAACAUAGGUUUCUGCUAAGUCGCAAGACGAUGUAUAGGAGCUGACGCCUGCCCGGUGCUGGAAGGUUAAGGGGAUCUGUUAGAGCAAUCGAAGCAGUGAACUUAAGCCCCAGUAAACGGCGGCCGUAACUAUAACGGUCCUAAGGUAGCGAAAUUCCUUGUCGGGUAAGUUCCGACCCGCACGAAAGGCGUAACGAUUUGGGCACUGUCUCAACAACAGACUCGGUGAAAUUGUAAUUCCGGUGAAGAUGCCGGAUACCUGCGACAGGACGGAAAGACCCCAUGGAGCUUUACUGUAGCUUGACAUUGGGUCUUGGUACUACAUGUACAGGAUAGGUGGGAGGCUUUGAAACCAGGACGCCAGUUUUGGCGGAGCCAUCCUUGGGAUACCACCCUUGUAGUACUGGGACUCUAACCAUAGGCCAUGAAUCUGGUCUUGGGACACUGUCAGGUGGGCAGUUUGACUGGGGCGGUCGCCUCCCAAAAGGUAACGGAGGCGCUCAAAGGUUCUCUCAGUACGGUCGGAAAUCGUACGUAGAGUGUAAAGGCAAAAGAGAGCUUGAUUGCAAGACAUACAGGUCGAGCAAGGAUGAAAAUCGGACUUAGUGAUCCGGUGGUUCUGCGUGGAAGGGCCAUCGCUCAACGGAUAAAAGCUACCCUGGGGAUAACAGGCUUAUCUCCCCCAAGAGUCCACAUCGACGGGGAGGUUUGGCACCUCGAUGUCGGCUCAUCACAUCCUGGGGCUGUAGUAGGUCCCAAGGGUUGGGCUGUUCGCCCAUUAAAGUGGUACGCGAGCUGGGUUCAGAACGUCGUGAGACAGUUCGGUCCCUAUCCGUCGCAGGCGUAGGAAAUUUGAGAAGACCUGUCCUUAGUACGAGAGGACCGGGAUGGACGUACCUCUGGUGUACCAGUUGUUCUGCCAAGGGCAUGGCUGGGUAGCUAUGUACGGAAUGGAUAAGCGCUGAAAGCAUCUAAGCGCGAAGCCAACUUCAAGAUAAGAUUUCCCACCGCAAGGGUAAGGCCCCAGAAAGACUAUCUGGUUGAUAGGUCGAAGGUGUAAGUGCAGCAAUGUAUUUAGCUUAUCGAUACUAAUAGGUCGAGGACUUGACCAA
Molecule: ribosomal RNA, 2895 nt
Filed under: Clostridioides difficile
Lineage: Bacteria; Bacillati; Bacillota; Clostridia; Peptostreptococcales; Peptostreptococcaceae
Description: bacterial LSU rRNA
Rfam family: Bacterial large subunit ribosomal RNA
Source: RNAcentral